CAAAAAUCUUUAUUCUCUGUUCAAACGCGCGCGGGGAGGUAAAAAUCUUCAUUCUCCGUUCGACAAGACAAAGGUUCUUUGCAAAGAGAACUUUGUCCUCUUCGAGCCAUUCUCUGUUCGACAAGAUGAAGUAAAUAGUCAAAGCCAUCGCAUCGGUUUUGAUUGUUUUCUCCAAAAUCCUCUUCGAGCGUUCUAUAGAGAAGAGAACGGUUCUGCGACAGAGGUCGCUUCCCUCGUCGGAAGAGAGAUCCGACCUUAUUUUCCAAAUCCAUCGAUCUGCCUUUAUUUCCAGAGAGCGGAAUCUGAUGAAGUACAUGUUCUUGCGGUUGACGAUAGUUUUGUUGAUCGGAAAGUAAUUGAGCGUCUGCUCAAGAUCUCUUCUUGUAAAGUUACUGUCGUGGAUAGCGGAAGGAGUGCUCUAAAAUUUCUGGGUUUGGAUGGGGAAGAAAACUCUGCAGUCGGCAUGGGUGUAAGAGAAUUUA
Nelumbo nucifera (sacred lotus) is the source of this 482-nucleotide non-coding RNA. Lineage: Eukaryota; Viridiplantae; Streptophyta; Magnoliopsida; Proteales; Nelumbonaceae. The record is from RefSeq and is a predicted model, not a curated record.